This 562-nucleotide ribosomal RNA is filed under the name Clavicipitaceae sp. JCM 16797. RNAcentral's name for it is "eukaryotic LSU rRNA". It matches the Rfam family "Eukaryotic large subunit ribosomal RNA", at positions 62 to 648 of the family's 3401-position model. Lineage: Eukaryota; Fungi; Ascomycota; Sordariomycetes; Hypocreales; Clavicipitaceae. The record is from RNAcentral.
AAACCAACAGGGAUUGCCCCAGUAACGGCGAGUGAAGCGGCAACAGCUCAAAUUUGAAAUCUGGCCCCCAGGGCCCGAGUUGUAAUUUGCAGAGGAUGCUUUUGGCGCGGUGCCUUCCGAGUUCCCUGGAACGGGACGCCAUAGAGGGUGAGAGCCCCGUCUGGUCGGACACCAAGCCAGUGUAAAGCUCCUUCGACGAGUCGAGUAGUUUGGGAAUGCUGCUCUAAAUGGGAGGUAUAUGUCUUCUAAAGCUAAAUACCGGCCAGAGACCGAUAGCGCACAAGUAGAGUGAUCGAAAGAUGAAAAGCACUUUGAAAAGAGGGUUAAAAAGUACGUGAAAUUGUUGAAAGGGAAGCGUUUAUGACCAGACUUGGGCCCGGCGAAUCAUCCAGCGUUCUCGCUGGUGCACUUCGCCGGGCUCAGGCCAGCAUCAGUUCGCCGCGGGGGACAAAAGCUUCGGGAACGUGGCUCCCUCGGGAGUGUUAUAGCCCGUUGCACAAUACCCUGCGGUGGACUGAGGUUCGCGCUCCGCAAGGAUGCUGGCGUAAUGGUCAUCAGCGAC